ACCCAAAACUAAGCCCUCUCU
RNAcentral lists this non-coding RNA (21 nucleotides) under Xenopus tropicalis (tropical clawed frog). The record is from RNAcentral. Lineage: Eukaryota; Metazoa; Chordata; Amphibia; Anura; Pipidae.